CUACGGGAUGCAGCAGUGGGGAAUAUUGCACAAUGGAGGAAACUCUGAUGCAGCAACGCCGCGUGGAGGAUGACACUUUUCGGAGCGUAAACUCCUUUUAUAUAGGAAGAAGAUGACGGUACUAUAUGAAUAAGCGCCGGCUAACUCCGUGCCAGCAGCCGCGGUAAUACGGAGGGCGCAAGCGUUACUCGGAAUCACUGGGCGUAAAGAGCGUGUAGGCGGAUUAAAAAGUCAGAAGUGAAAUCCUAUAGCUUAACUAUAGAACUGCUUCUGAAACUCUUAAUCUAGAAUAUGGGAGAGGUAGAUGGAAUUUCUGGUGUAGGGGUAAAAUCCGUAGAGAUCAGAAGGAAUACCGAUUGCGAAGGCGAUCUACUAGAACAUUAUUGACGCUGAGACGCGAAAGCGUGGGGAGUAAACAGGAUUAGAUACCCUUGUAGUC
Molecule: ribosomal RNA, 439 nt
Filed under: uncultured bacterium
Lineage: Bacteria
Description: partial 16S ribosomal RNA
Rfam family: Bacterial small subunit ribosomal RNA
Source: RNAcentral